UUAAAUUUUAAUUUUUAAUUUAAGUUCAAAUUAAAAUUUAAAAUUAUAUAUUUAAUUUUUAAAUUAUAACUCAUAUUUUAAUUAAAAAAGUUGAAAAAAUAAAUUUAAUCUGAAUAAAUAUUCAUUCCGUCCGGAUUCAAUUUUCAAUCUGGCCGAAUUGAAAAAAGAGGUGAUUGAGGAAUUCCCAUUCCACUCGGGAAUCAGAAUCGGAAUGGGACUCCCGCGUACCAAACACCCACAAACGGAUUUACCCAUUCCAAUUUCGAUUCCAAGGUGAAAAUGAAGCGAACCAAACACGCCCGUAAGGUUGAGAUGAUGGUGGUAGGUGGUGGUAGGUGAAAUAAUAUUUCAUCCAAAGGCUAUUAGUAAUCAAGGAAUAGAUCCAAGAACUAAAAACUUAGAAGCACCAACGGGUUGGUGCUUAUAAAAAUUCUAGCUCAAUUCUAUAUAUUUAUUUAUAAAAAAAAUUAUAAUUUUGAGUCAAAUUGGCGAGUCAAUUAUGAUUAUUUCUGAUAAGAUUAGAUUUAAAGAUAUUUUAAAUUCUGUUAUUUUC
This 553-nucleotide long non-coding RNA is filed under the name Ananas comosus (pineapple). RNAcentral's name for it is "long non-coding RNA (ACOM_LNC022507)". The record is from RNAcentral. Lineage: Eukaryota; Viridiplantae; Streptophyta; Magnoliopsida; Poales; Bromeliaceae.